UACGUAGGGCGCAAGCGUUAUCCGGAAUUAUUGGGCGUAAGGAGCUCGUAGGCGGUUUGUCGCGUCUGCUGUGAAAACUCGGGGCUUAACCCCGGGCCUGCAGUGGGUACGGGCAGACUAGAGUGCGGUAGGGGAGACUGGAAUUCCUGGUGUAGCGGUGAAAUGCGCAGAUAUCAGGAGGAACACCGGUGGCGAAGGCGGGUCUCUGGGCCGUAACUGACGCUGAGGAGCGAAAGCAUGGGGAGCGAACAGG
This 253-nucleotide ribosomal RNA is filed under the name uncultured bacterium. RNAcentral's name for it is "partial 16S ribosomal RNA". It matches the Rfam family "Bacterial small subunit ribosomal RNA", at positions 524 to 776 of the family's 1533-position model. The record is from RNAcentral.